Molecule: ribosomal RNA, 486 nt
Filed under: uncultured bacterium
Lineage: Bacteria
Description: partial 16S ribosomal RNA
Rfam family: Bacterial small subunit ribosomal RNA
Source: RNAcentral
AUUGAACGCUGGCGGCAUGCCUUACACAUGCAAGUCGAACGGCAGCACGGGUGCUUGCACCUGGUGGCGAGUGGCGAACGGGUGAGUAAUACAUCGGAACAUGUCCUGUAGUGGGGGAUAGCCCGUCGAAAGCCGGAUUAAUACCGCAUACGAUCUACGGAUGAAAGCGGGUGACCUUCGGGCCUCGCGCUAUAGGGUUGGCCGAUGGCUGAUUAGCUAGUUGGUGGGGUAAAGGCCUACCAAGGCGACGAUCAGUAGCUGGUCUGAGAGGACGACCAGCCACACUGGGACUGAGACACGGCCCAGACUCCUACGGGAGGCAGCAGUGGGGAAUUUUGGACAAUGGGCGAAAGCCUGAUCCAGCAAUGCCGCGUGUGUGAAGAAGGCCUUCGGGUUGCAAAGCACUUUUGUCCGGAAAGAAAUCCUUGGCCCUAAUACGGUCGGGGGAUGACGGUACCGGAAGAAUAAGCACCGGCUAACUACGUG